CUGAAAUCAAGUAAUAGUCAUUCAUGCCUUUUUAUCAGUCUAUUGGCGCCAGAAAAGUUCCCAGCAUAUCCUACUUCAAGCAGGAUAAUGUUUCGUUAUCUUCUCAUUUCUACUGCUACAAGAUUCGUUUCUUCGUUUCUUAAUUAUGUUCAUCGGUUCUGUUUUCAUUGAUUGCAUAAUGAAAAUGUGUUAAAUGACCGAAUUAUUCAUAGUGUUUAGGCAAUGUCGAUGGUCUUCUUCGCCACCAUUUCCCAGAACUUGGCAUGUGGAGGAAUGACUCGAGGACAACAACAGGUCCUCAAGCUGUCACUGUUCUUCCAUGGACGGGAGGUUUUGGACGGCAACACCAGACAUGCAAUGAUUUCCGGUGACUCGGUCGAAUAGCAUUUUUUGUGAACAGCUUUAAAUGAGUUUGUAUUUAUGGUUUUUCUUUCAAACUAUUUUAUUUCUAAAGCUGCAUUUCGUCUAAAUGUACAUAUUUUUCAUGAAUUGUUGCAACUUCACAUGCCCCAAAGAUUAUGAUUCUUAAGUAAAUGUAUUUAGGUAAAAAUUUA
Molecule: long non-coding RNA, 554 nt
Organism: Musa acuminata AAA Group (dessert banana)
Lineage: Eukaryota; Viridiplantae; Streptophyta; Magnoliopsida; Zingiberales; Musaceae
Exons: 2
Source: RefSeq, a predicted model, not a curated record